UACGGGGGGGGCAAGCGUUGUUCGGAAUUACUGGGCGUAAAGGGCUCGUAGGCGGCCAACUAAGUCAGACGUGAAAUCCCCAGGCUCAACCUGGGAACUGCGUCUGAUACUGGAUGGCUUGAAUUCGGGAGAGGGAUGCAGAAUUCCAGGUGUAGCGGUGAAAUGCGUAGAUAUCUGGAGGAAUACCGGUGGCGAAGGCGGCAUCCUGGACCGACAUUGACGCUGAGGAGCGAAAGCUAGGGGAGCAAACGGGAUUAGAAACCCCCGUAGUCC
Molecule: ribosomal RNA, 273 nt
Filed under: uncultured bacterium
Lineage: Bacteria
Description: partial 16S ribosomal RNA
Rfam family: Bacterial small subunit ribosomal RNA
Source: RNAcentral